AUACGGAGGAUGCAAGCGUUAUCCGGAUUUAUUGGGUUUAAAGGGUUCGUAGGCGGAAAAUUAAGUCAGUGGUGAAAGCCUGCAGCUCAACUGCAGAACUGCCAUUGAUACUGAUUUUCCUGAAUUUAUAUGAAGUGGGCGGAAUGCGUCAUGUAGCGGUGAAAUGCACAGAUAUGACGCAGAACACCAAUUGCGAAGGCAGCUCACUAAUGUAAUAUUGACGCUGAGGAACGAAAGCAUGGGGAGCGAACAGGAUUAGAUACCCUAGUAGUCC
RNAcentral lists this ribosomal RNA (274 nucleotides) under uncultured bacterium. RNAcentral describes it as "partial 16S ribosomal RNA". It matches the Rfam family "Bacterial small subunit ribosomal RNA", at positions 523 to 796 of the family's 1533-position model. The record is from RNAcentral.